This 102-nucleotide ribosomal RNA is filed under the name Lockhartia verrucosa. RNAcentral's name for it is "partial 18S ribosomal RNA". It matches the Rfam family "Eukaryotic small subunit ribosomal RNA", at positions 1730 to 1831 of the family's 1831-position model. The record is from RNAcentral. Lineage: Eukaryota; Viridiplantae; Streptophyta; Magnoliopsida; Asparagales; Orchidaceae.
UCGCCGCCCGAGACUUGGCGAGAAGUCCAUUGAACCUUAUCAUUUAGAGAAAGGAGAAGUCGUAACAAGGUUUCCGUAGGUGAACCUGCGGAAGGAUCAUUG